UACGUAGGGGGCAAGCGUUGUCCGGAUUUAUUGGGCGUAAAGAGCGCGUAGGCGGUUUGGUAAGUCCGUUGUGAAAACUCGAGGCUCAACCUCGAGACGCCGAUGGAAACCAUCAGACUAGAGUCCGGAAGAGGAGAGUGGAAUUCCUGGUGUAGCGGUGAAAUGCGCAGAUAUCAGGAAGAACACCCGUGGCUAAGGCGGCUCUCUAGUACGGUACUGACGCUGAGACGCGAAAGCGUGGGGAGCGAACAGG
This 253-nucleotide ribosomal RNA is filed under the name uncultured bacterium. Its description in RNAcentral is "partial 16S ribosomal RNA". It matches the Rfam family "Bacterial small subunit ribosomal RNA", at positions 524 to 776 of the family's 1533-position model. The record is from RNAcentral.